Molecule: non-coding RNA, 75 nt
Organism: Streptomyces yokosukanensis
Lineage: Bacteria; Bacillati; Actinomycetota; Actinomycetes; Kitasatosporales; Streptomycetaceae
Rfam family: ASpks TB sRNA
Source: Rfam
CUUCACCGAGCCGAGGAGCAGCGGCCGGUCCUCCGGCCGGUCCUGCCCGUACGUGGCGAGCAGUGCCUGGGCUUC